This 712-nucleotide long non-coding RNA is filed under the name Dasypus novemcinctus (nine-banded armadillo). RNAcentral's name for it is "lncRNA (ENSDNOG00000051238.1)". Lineage: Eukaryota; Metazoa; Chordata; Mammalia; Cingulata; Dasypodidae. The record is from RNAcentral.
GCGGACACGCGCCUGCCGCCCCGCCCCGCCCUGACCAGCGCGGGGGCCUCCGCCCCAUCCCCCGCCCGCGCGGUCCCCGUAGCGCGGCUUUCGCCGUUCCCCGCCCCCUCGCCUUUGGGGCUGCCUUCGUCACUGCCUGACCCGAGGUCCAGCAGCUUCUGCUUUCCUGGUCCCCACCAACAGAAAGUAGCAGCUCACCCUGGGGGUAGCCUAGCGGCUUCAGCUACUAGCAGAGCGGCGGCGGCGGCCCCCCCUCAGGAGACAACCAGAUCACCCCUUCCCACGGCCUCGCUAUGGCGACCUACGGGCAGAGCUGCGCGCGGCGUAAGUAGAGCAGGGAUUUGUGCUGAAUGGGGUUGGGUGACCGGCGAGAUGGAAUCUGUAGACCAGAAAACCGCAGCUUCUCCCAUCCCAUCUCUCCAAAGACUUGGAAAUUCGGUCCCUUCCGGUAGCCACUCUACAGCGUGAUCACCCGGGCUCUGCGGAGGAGGGACUGCUGGAUUCUCGAGUGGAGGGUCUAGGCCGCGGGAAUUGGUCUCUGGUCCUAUUCACCUCCAGCUAUUGGAUGUGUCUUUGGCCAGCAAAAAAAAGCAGAGAGUCAUUAAUUGUGGGAUUCCACCUUUCAAGGAUUGGAUUGCUCACCGUUUAGAGGAAGUAGUCUUCUUGAGUGUGCAAGGUCAUUCAUUACAUGUGCUCCUGAGGGCGUGGACAU